GUCGGUGGAACAUCCCGAGCGAAGGGAGUCCUGAACUGCAUCCAACAGGGGGCGGGCGCCUAGGUCCUCAGGGCGGGCGCCCUGGGCCUGGCCCCUUUCGACCUCCGCUUCCUUCCCGUGGCUUCUGGAGUCUUCUAGAUGGUAGAAAAUUGCGCGGUGCGUUGAUAUCUCUAUGUAAUCCCGACAUGUGGGCCCUUCUUUCGUAUUUCCUGAUAACCCCCUGCAGAAAUAGACAAACACCAAAACUCGUGGAAUUCUGUCAGAUAAAACCCUAAGUCUAG
Molecule: long non-coding RNA, 281 nt
Filed under: Sorghum bicolor (sorghum)
Lineage: Eukaryota; Viridiplantae; Streptophyta; Magnoliopsida; Poales; Poaceae
Description: long non-coding RNA (SBIC_LNC008156)
Source: RNAcentral